Molecule: small nuclear RNA, 20 nt
Filed under: Arabidopsis thaliana (thale cress)
Lineage: Eukaryota; Viridiplantae; Streptophyta; Magnoliopsida; Brassicales; Brassicaceae
Description: snRNA_08086
Source: RNAcentral
AAGCGUGGCCUAUCGAUCCU